GGGGAUUUAGUUCAGUGGUAGAGCGCUUGCCUAGGAAGCGCAAGGCCCUGGGUUCAAUCCCCA
This 63-nucleotide transfer RNA is filed under the name Rattus norvegicus (Norway rat). It matches the Rfam family "tRNA", at positions 1 to 62 of the family's 71-position model. Rfam says of the family: Transfer RNA (tRNA) molecules are approximately 80 nucleotides in length. The record is from Rfam by way of RNAcentral. Lineage: Eukaryota; Metazoa; Chordata; Mammalia; Rodentia; Muridae.